CAGUGGUGGGACAAGAGAGGAUGGGAGAAGCGGUCCCAGGAAGGGAAGGAAGGCGACCCCCGCUCCCCGAGGGUGCAGCCUUGCCAAGGCCAGGCUGCUUCCCAGUCCACCUUGGAGCAACUCACCCUCUACCAGAGCCUGCUGAAGCGGUUCUAUUUAUACCACUGAUACAUGGGGAUACGCCUUUCAGAUUUUCUAGAAGGAUUUGGAUCUACUUAUGCAAGCUUUUCUGAGCCCGGAGUCUAUCGGUUUCAAAGACACGUGAAAAGCUAUGAAGAAAACCCAAGGGAAGGAAACCUCGGGAGCUGGGGCCCGAAAACACAGGGCCGGACAUCUGCUCUCCGCCCACGGUUGGGGCUGUUUAUUUUUUUUUUUUUUUUUUUUUUUUCAACGUUUAUUUAUUUUUGGGACAGAGAGAGACAGAGCAUGAACGGGGGAGGGGCAGAGAGAGAGGGAGACACAGAAUUGGAAACAGGCUCCAGGCUCCAAGCCAUCAGCCCAGAGCCUGACGCGGGGCUCGAACUCCCGGACCGCGAGAUCGUGACCUGGCUGAAGUCGGACGCUUAA
Long non-coding RNA from Lynx canadensis (Canada lynx), 567 nucleotides. The record is from Ensembl. Lineage: Eukaryota; Metazoa; Chordata; Mammalia; Carnivora; Felidae.